RNAcentral lists this long non-coding RNA (33763 nucleotides) under Vitis vinifera (wine grape). Its description in RNAcentral is "long non-coding RNA (VVIN_LNC003651)". Lineage: Eukaryota; Viridiplantae; Streptophyta; Magnoliopsida; Vitales; Vitaceae. The record is from RNAcentral.
CCCUUCCAAGUUCUAGAAUGGUGCAGUUGCACCUUUUCUUCUCUAAGGUGCAGAUACGUCUUUUCUUCUCUAAGGUGCGUUGCAUUUUUUCUUCUCUAAGGUGAGGCUGCACCUCCAUUUCCCGUCUUUCAGCUACAAAUCGUGCUACCUCUCCUAGAAAAUCAAACUUUCAAAGCCCUCUCCACGUGCUGAAAAUCUCUUUCCAUCAUCUCAAUGAUCCUGCAAAUUGUGCCCUUCUCCUCUUUUCAAAGGCUCCGUCUCCCUUGCUCUCCAAUGGUGUAACUGCAAAUUUUUUUUUUUUUUUGGUUUUUUUAAAGGCACGACUUCACCUCUACUUCCUGUUUUCUGCCGCAAAUUGUCCUCACUCUCACUGAAAGCCAAACCUUUAUUAUUAUUUUUUUUCGCUCUCCUGUCAUUUUCUUUCUUCUUCCUAUUUUUUUUUCUCUAUCUCAUCCAGCUUCUUCACUCUCCAUUUUCCGCUCGUUGACUCCACCAACAUGGGAAGACAACUCACCCGCCCGGAGAGAGCCUCAAUCGUCCGUGUCAUUCCAGCAUGAUCGGAACUCUCUAUCUUCUCAAAACAUAGCCCACAUUCUGUCCCUAUACAUCUGCACUCCUUCCCAUUGACUUCAAAACAAUGUGUAGGUCCUUCAAAUGUCCCCAUUUUGGUUGGUUCAGAUUACCAAAUUCAUCAAGAGGUGCAUCAUAAUAUAUGAUGUCAUAAUGUAUGGACCACCAACUAUUCUACCAAAAUUGGUACCACCAUGAUACAUGUAAUAGUCUUGGAAUGUGCCGCCAGUUUUGUAAGUAUUCUCUAGAGUAUUUAUUUGAAGUAGGAAAAUUUGGCCCACUAAAGAGAAGACGAGUGAUACAAUUGUUGCUAUCCUUAACCAUUUUCUCUAUCUUCCUUGGAAACACUACACCGCUAAAGAAUUGAAAUGGAACCUUAGAAACAAUCCCAAAUAAGAAAAUAUGAAUACCUAGAUAAAAAGUAUAACACAUAAAAAAUACAUAUUAGACACAUUUAAUAAAAAAAGAAAUUAAACUAAUGCAACAUAUAAUAAUAAUCGAAGUGUCAAACUCAAACCACCAAAAAAUAAAAAAAUUCAUUUCAUCCAAUCAUAAAAUAAAAUAAAUAAACAAAAAUACAAAUAAUAGUAAUAAUGAAAUAAUAUAAAAUAAGUCAAAACUCACUUAAUCCUAAAAUCAAAAUAAAAUAAAUAAACAAAAAUACAAAUAAUAAUAAUAAUAAUGAAAUAAUAUAAAAUAAGCCAAAACUCACUUAAUCCUAAAAUCAAUAAAUAAAAUAAAUAAAUAAAGAAAAACAAGAAAAUAAAUCUAAGUGAAACUAAACCUAGAAAAGUGCCUAGGUGAGCCUACAGUGGUGCCUAAUUGGCCAAGUGUACCUAAAUGGGCGUAGGGUACAUAAGUGGGUCUAAGGUGGUGCCUAAUGGGCCAAGUGUACAUAAAUGGCCCGAUGGUGCCUAAAUGGGCCUAAGAAGGUGCCUAAUGGGCCAAAUGUACCUAAAUGGACCGAGGGUGCUUAAGUGGGCCUAAGGAGGUGCUUAAUGGGCCAAGUGUACCUAAAUGGGCUUAGGGUGACUAAAUGGGCCUAAGGUGGUGCCUAAAUGGGCCAAAUGUACUUAAAUGGGUGUAGGGUGCCUAAGUGGGCCUAAGGUGGUGCCUAAUGGGCCAAGUGUACCUAAAUGGGCCAAUGGUGCCUAAGUGGGCCUAAGGAGGUGCCUAAUGGGCCAAGUGUACCUAAAUGGGCAUAGAGUGCCUAAAUGGGCCUAAGGGGCCAAGUGUACCUAAAUGGACCUAGGGUGCUUAAGUGGGCCUAAGUCUAAAUUAGGACUGCUAAGAGUCACAAUAGAGUUAGAUAAAUCCCUCAACCAAAGUCUCUAAGGUGGCUUAGAGAAUAUAGGCUACACGAGUAGUGAUGGGCCACCAGGGUAUUGUUGUAAAAUGCUGAACAAAUACCUAAUAGGACAUGUGCUAAGAGGGCAAACUGGAGGGUCUACAAUAUGCAUGACAAAUGAGAAGAUUGAGAGGGAAAAAUAUUAUUUUGGAAUAUAAUGAUGACAUUGGUUUUUGGAUAUUUGGAGUACUCUCAUGGGAAGACAACUUUGAAAUUUUAAAAAGGAAAAAGAUUUUUGAGAUUAAGAACUCUCUUAAGGGUACGACUGUUGCCAUUGAGAUUGAUAUACAUGCAUAGGGAGCAUUGAGAAUUUGGUGAUAUACAACAUAGGAGAUUUUUUGAGAUUGAAGAGGAUUCAUAGAGAUACACGACUAUCAUAUUGAGAUAGGACAAAGAUUCAUGGAAAAAGGACAAUGUUCACAACAUGAAGGCUUUUUUGGAAAGAAGAAAAGAAUUGUCUUGAAGACAAGACACAACAUUGAGGAGUUUUUGGAAAAGAGGAGGAAUAUUUUGGAACAACAUUGAAUGGGAUUUUUUGAGGUAGACAUGAUUGCCAUUGAGAUGGGGUUCACAAAAAAGAGAUUUUUAAAGAGGAGAUGACUUUUUUUAAAGGGGGAUUUGUGGUUGCUAUAGAGAGAUAGAAGAGAUAGGACUCUCUUUGGUACAAGUUUUUGGAAUUUUUGAGGAAGAGAUGACUUUGUUUUUUUGGGACUGUUAGUUGCCAUAAAGAUUGGAAAGAAAAUUUAAAGUCUUGGAGAAGCUAAGGGCAUCACGACAUAAGGAGAAGAGGGAAGAUCAAUUUGGAUUGAGAAAUGAAGCAAAGUUUCAUAUUUUUUUAGUGGAGAAAAGAACAAGUUUCAUCUUUUUGGAGGAAAGCUAUGAUUCUCUUUUAUUCUUUUUGCAUAUCUUAAUUAUGAUAAUCUCUCUAUCUUUUAUUUUUUUUCCAUCUUACUUAGAUAUGAGAAUUAUCUUUGGUUGGUGUGGAUGCAUAGGCCACACAAAUUGUUGGUAUUUAAUAAUUGGAUGAUUGAUUGUUUAUGCUUAGGAUCUAUUUCACUCAUUGUUUUCCUUAUUUUUUUUUUUUUUUUACUUAGUUUAAGCCUAUUUGAUAUCACAUGAGAUGAGGUCUUGCAUCACAUGAUUUCUUUACUUUUGGUUCAUUUUAUUUGAUUGUUUCUUUGAGAUGUUAGAGUUUAGGUUUAGAAUUGCCUCUCACACAUUCACACACACACACACACACACACACACACACACACACCUACUCUUACCUUGAAUUUUGUUUUCUUGUUUUCAUCCUAGGAUCCUAUGUGAAUUGAUUGUUUUAGAAAAUUUUCAAGGGUUUUUGAAAUUUUUAACUAAGAAAUAGAAUAAGAGUUUGAAGACUUGGUAUGGGAAUAAUGUAAGGGGAUUUUUGAAUUGUUAUUGGAUAAGAAAUUGAGAUCCUUGGUGUGAGGGAUUAGCUAAAUAUGAAUAAUGUUCUAUUUGGUGGAGGUGUUUGAACAUGGCAUUGGAUAUGUUAAGAGAACUCAUGAUAGACACAGAUGAGAGGACAAAAAAAAAAAAAAAAAAAACUUAAGGAAAAACAACAAGAAAAUGAUAUGUAGUUCUAGAAAGACAAGUCAUAGACAAACCUUAGAAGGUUAAGGCUAAGGUAGUGUACGUUAGAAUCUCUUGAGAACAACAUCAGAGAAGGAUGUUGGUGAACACUAACUUUUAUGCCAAGAGUUAAUAGGAGGAAAAUGCAAAAAAUAAAGGAAUUUUAAAAAUGCAAAGGUUUAGCCUUCUAAAAAUACCUUACCUUCGUCCCUUGAAAAAAAAUGUGGCAUUAUUUAUUUCAGACUAACAUCAAGAAUAGGAGCACCAAACUUAACUUGCCUGGUGCUUACAAUACAUGUAAGAGACUUAGUGCAUGGACUUCUAAGGGCAACAAUAAUUGUAAAUACCAUAACACCGAGUAUUUGGCAAAGUAUCAAAGUUCUAAGAGCCUUAUUUCAACAACUUUGAAGAUACUUCCACACUAAUAGAAUGCAAUUUCUCAAAACAAGGGAUAUGGCACCAAGGCUUGUCAACUAGCUAAGAUAUUUCUAUCAAAACAAGAUCUUGUAUUCACAAUCCCAUAAUUAUUAAUUAAGAAUCAUGGGAUUGAUCUAUAAAAGCUAAAGGUUCGAUCAAAGAUAGACAAAAUUGUUAACCAAUUGAGUGUUACAAUACAUAUCACAAAGAAUUAUGCAUAAAGGUAAUCUUUACUUGCUUUAUUUUGAUUUAGAUGUAUGAAAACAUAUAUACAAUGAUUGAGAAUGCUUAUAGUAAUGUUGAUCUCAAUUGUCCUAAACUAUAGCUACCUCUUAAAAUGAAAAGAUUGUGUAUUACAUGAGACUUUUAAAAAUAAUAACAAUAAAAAAGAAAUAUGUACCUUUAGUCCUUUCCCUAAAAUAUAUAUAACAAAAAUUCAUUAAAAAUUCAAAAUAAAGAAGUUCAUAGAUAAAGUUUAUUUUUCCUAAAAGAAAUUUUGCUAUUGCUUAUUAUCUCUUAUCAAGAAUAAAUAGGUAAUAUUCAAGUGUUUCAAAAAAUAAACCUCCCAACUAUAUUUCGUGCUCAAUUGCAUGAUAAGAAUUGAAGUUUAUUACAUGGGAUUUGAUUUCGUUUAAAAGCGACAACAAAGGAAAAUUAUUAUGGGGGUGCAAUAAUCCAUUGACAUGUGGAUUGAUACUAAGGUAACACAAGUGGUGCAUGAUUCGUUCCCAAUUGGUGUCUCAGCUGAUUCAUGUCCAGCUGGUGCUCCUUGACUGAGGGAGUGAUCAACAAAAUUUAUAACCUAUUACACCAUGCAUUAGGAUAGCUUUAGCUAAUAUAGCAUAGUGACUCUAGGAUUGUUCACUGGGAAGGGUUUUCAACUCUCAAUUGAUACCAAUUCAAAGUUAAAUUGGUGCUUUUUCAUUUCAAGGUUAGCUUAAGAAAUAAAACACAAACUUUGUUUAAAUGAGGUUUUGUUUAAAGCUAACUAAAAAGAAAGUAAUGGAAAUUACUUAUGAAGAAAAACAUUCCUUGGAGGUUUAGGUUCAUUGGGGAGGUUCCUUAUGCAAAAACAGAGCUCUAGUCAUUUGGUUCAUUUCCUCGCAUUAGAGAAUUAACAUAUAGUCAAUUCUCUAACCGGUGUUGUACAGAUGUAACCUUUAAAUGGAUUUCGGCUCUAAUUCCCUCUCACUGAUGCAACUUGCAAUGGCUCGUGCCUCUCACCUAGCAUUUGCCAUUCAAGGUAAUCUUUAACUUUGGACUUCCCUUCUCAAGCUCGCAAGAGAUAACUAAUGGAUGUCUUCUUGGAGUCCAAAAGCUUACCAAGUGUUGGCAAUUCUAGAAAAUCCUACCUCCAAGUCACUUCCCAAAAGCUCGCAAGAGAUAAACAAGUGCAUCUCCAUGGACGGAGAUCACGUGCCUUACCAAGUGUUGGCUCAAGUGAAUUGAAGGUGUUUUAAGUUAACUAAAAACAUAGAAAUCAUUAAAGGAUCACACUUUCUUUUCAUUAAUGGCUGAAACCACAAAGCUAUAAUUUCUUGCACUUGGAACCUUUCCCGGCAACCCUAGCUCCAAGGAACUAAAAGUCUAGCCACUCAUUCUCUGAGGAAAAUUCCUCAGAGCUUGUUUGGCUAGUAAGAAAAAGAAUGAGAAAACAAAAAUAUAAAGGAAAAACAGAGCAAGUGCUCUAUAAAAUAUAUUUCUUGCAAAAUUGUACAAAAGGAUGCGUCUGAGAACAAGCUCCCAAAGAUAUAUGAUUGUAAAGAAAAUUACAACUAUAUAUAAGAGGUUAUUCACUCCUUUUUCUUGCUUAAAGACUAAGGAAUCCUAUGAUAGGUGGAUUACAAGGAGAGUUUGGGGAUUUAGACAUCAAAUAUCUAAAGCAAAAUAUCCCAAAAUAUCUCAAAAAUGUCGGUCGGAAAUAUCAGGAAGCUUGAGGAGAACAUCGUGGCACUGUGCAAAAUGGCUGCGAAACUCUCUGGGUAAGCGCUGUAAAAGGAUCUGGACAUGUCUGUCCGGGGAAGUUGAAACGUCCUCCUCUCCCAUCCAGCUGUGAGGUAUCUGGAUGUAACAUGUCGGCGCACGGAAUUCCGGAUGUGAAAUGUCGGCAGACAGAACUCUUCCCCAGGUGGACUGAGCUAUGCUGCGCAAGGGGGACCGUCUGCGUGUGCAAGGUGUAGGGACCCCUCUCCCGGAUGACACGGAGUGCGCAAGGCUAUCCGGAUCAACUCCAUCCGGAUUUCCCAAGAGGACACGCGGCGCGCUCCCUUAUCCGGAUUCCCUCAGGUUGGAGCACACAGCACUCGUGAACAUCACACCCGGACGAUAACAUAUCCUAUUCGGAUAUGUUGUCCGGGUCACUGACUAAAGUGAGCAAGCCUUCCUACGUCAUUCGGACAACCUGCCACAGACCAUGUUCCGCCACCAUCCUGUCCGGACGCCCUGUCCGGACAUCUUUGCCAUGGAUUCCAAAGAACUCUCCUCAAUCUCUGAUUGCUUUCGUGAUAAAAAAGCUAUCAAAACACCAAAAUUUAACACAAUUUGAUUAGAAUUGAUUGCAAGGGUCCUUAAUAUGUUAAUUGGGUUAAAAGGUGAUAACUACUACUCAAAAGUAUUUAAAAGAGUUAAUUACAGACUAUCAAAUAACACUUUUUGAGUAGUAAUCAGUGCACCACCAUAAGGUUGCAUAAGAGCCACAUAACCCCAAAUGGGUACUCCAACCACCAUCAUAGUACAAUAAAGUUGACUUCUAUUAUCAAUAUGGCGAUAUGAUUUCCCACAUGAAAAUGGAGUAACUUACAACCACCCUCUAAGGGGCACCUUUUUCCACUUUCAAGGAUGAAAAUAUCGGUGAUUAUUGAUACAUCAGUACUUCCAUUUUACGGAUAUAUCGAUGAAUAUUUUGACACAAAAUAUCAAUGAAAUUAAAAUUGAUAAAAAAUUAUAAAAAUGUAAUAAAAAACUCUUAAAAAUAAAAUUAGAAGUAUAAUAUAUAUUUUAAAGUUGUUUUGUUCAAGAAAUUGAUAUAUGUAUAAUAUAACCUAUCAUAUUUGAUAAUAAUAUUGUAUGUGCUAAGAAAAAAAUAUGAAUUUCAUAAGUAUACAUUUAUUAUUAAAUUAUAUCAAAUAUUAUUCGAUAAUAAUAUUGUGAUAUUUGAUUAUAAUAUGUCUAAUUUAAAAAUAUAUUUAAUAUUUAAAUUAUAAUCCAUUUAAUUCAAUUGUAUUAAAUGAUAUAAAAUAAACGAUGAUAUAUGUAUAAUUUUAAUACUUUAUUAAUAUAUUAAUGAUAUUAAAAACAUUAUUAAGAAAAUUAUCAUGAUAAUUUUUAUAUUUUUGGUAUUCAAAUAGAUGAAAAAUUUUCAUUUAAUCAUAAAAUAAUUAUAAUUAAUUUGUUCUUUAAAAUAUUUUUUUGAAUUUAUGUUUAUAUGAUGAAUUUGAGUUUAUGUAUAUUUGGUGCAACUUAUAUAACAAGGGACAAACUUCCCCCAAUGGUUGGCUCAACGCAUAGUAAACCCACACAGGUCGUAUUGACCCAUGUUGACCACCCCAAAAUAUUGCAAAAAAUCAAUAAAAUAUUGAAAAAUCGGCAAAAUUCACGAUAAAUUGUCAAAAUAUCGAGGUCCAUCGAUACUCUAUAUUUUAAUCACUGCCCACCAUCAAAGGUUGUAAUGACCAUAGGCGGUGAAUGGACUCAAACCCUUAGGCGGUGAAUGGACUCAAACCCUAACAAGCGACCCCAUCAUUAAAAGGAAGAUUGCUUUCCAAAGCAAGGCAGGUGAAACAAAUUCAUCCUUUUAUGUUAACCCUCUUUCCCAUCCAUGCCUAACUUGAUCGUCACAAAGGGGUUGGCCUAAUCAAUCCAUCACCUAUCUAACACUCAUUAUGGAAAUUAAUGUGUAAAGGAAUUCCAAAGAUAACCUCAAGUGGAAGAGGGAUGCAACAAUUCUAAAUUGCAUCCUCAUAUGCAAAAAAUAGGACUAAAUCAAUGUUUCUACAAGGAAGAGUCAAGCUUGACUUCAAUUUAUUGUUUUGUCUUGGUCUUUUUAAUAUUCCUAAUAAAAAGAAAUAACAUGAAAACGUCAACAAAUUUUCAAUUACUUCAAUUAAAAAAAUCAAUUAGUACAUAAAAAUAAUUUUUUUCUUCAAAAUUAAAGGCAAGAGAUGAUUUUAUAUUUUUGCCCUAAUUUUAAUUUAUUUUAAAUCAAUUUGAGUGUUGAAAAUUUAGGUAACAAAAAUUUGAUUAAAGAACUAUAUAUAUAUAUAACAUAAUUCUUCUUAAAAAAAUAAUAUUUUUUUUAUAAAAAAAUUGUUUAAAAAAUUGAGAUAUUAUUUUCUCAAAUUUAAAAAAUUUAAAAAAUAAUUUUUAAAGAUAUAAGAUAAGUUCAUACUUCUUUAAAAGAGUUGUUAUAUUUAAUAUAGAAAUUAUUAUUAUUUUCUAGUUUUUUUUUUUUUAAAAAAAAUGUCCAAACAAACAAUUAAUUAAUUUCAAAUAAUUUUGAUAAUGCCCAAGUACACUAAUGGAAUUAAUAAAAUGCUUUAUACAUAAUUAAUGGGAAUGCGCCAUCAAAGUCAUGGGAGUUUUUCCGUCCCACCAAGAUACCACCGAGUAAUACACACGUACAAAGUGAGGUUAUUACGUAAUAAUAAAUAAAAAUAUAGGUCAAUUAUUGGAAGACAAGUACUGCGUAAAUGUUGAGCUUUAGUCAACCAAGUCGUUUACGAGAUUUCCCCACCAUGACAGCAGCUGAAGACAUGGAAAAACAGGUGUAUGACUCAGUGUCCCAAGGACUGUGUCAAAGAUGGAAUACCCUAGGGUUGAGGGAGUAGGGAACAAAGUGGGUCAGCUCGAUUGACUAUACACAUUGCAUGCAUUACUAAAGUGGUAAGGUUUCUGGAUCUCUAUGUCGGCGUUGAUAAUUGAAUGGGAAAGUAUUAAUGGUUCUAGACAACAGUGGCUGCACCCAACCCCAAAUCUCAAAAACCUCAGCUGAAGCAAUUCAUUGAAUAGCUCAAAGCCGAACCAUCCAUUCUUAGCAUGAGCUGCUUCCGACUCAUUCGCAUUCAAGAUAGACACACCUUUGAUGUAAUUAGGAGAUAAGAAAUGGUUACCUCAUGAGUAGUCCGAGAAAUUUUGGAGAAAAGAUAAAAAAAAAAAAAAAUAGAGUCAGGAACGCAGAAGAAUGUAGUCAUUCUCUUUUGCCCUAGUUCUCCAGCUCUUGAAGUUUUAAGAGGUCAUCUCGAAUGGAUUUUUAAUUGCCUCAACACAGGGUGAAGUAUCCGCCAAGCAAUCAAUGAUUUUUUUCUAAAAGAUGAAGCUCAAUAUUUGGAAAAAUCAAACCAUGCAUGGAUUUGGAUAAAUUAUAAUGGGAUUUCCUAUUUUAAUGCUUUAGAUUUCUUCUUAAAAAUCUGAUUUUCUUUUAAUUAGGCAUUGAUUCAUUCCUAUCUUACUCCUAAAAUUAGACACACAUGUGUUAGGUGAUCUGAUAUCCGUUAAAACUUUGGGGUGCAUGCAUCUAAUUAAGAUUCUUGGAAUAACUGAAGUGAUUAAAAAUAAAAUUUUUGCCUCAUAGGGUGGUUUAAAAAUCAUAUAUGAGGUUUGAAUGUUCUCAAGCCCAAAUUCUUUUUCAUAGAAGAUGUCUUGAAACCUCACAAUCUUCCACCAUUAUAGCUCCUUCUUUGAUCCAUGAUACUUGUGUAGAAUGACUACUUACUUCUUAAGGGAGAGAGAUGGAGGCUAGGUUUCCAAAAGAUCAAUUGUUUGAAAGAUUAAAGUCUAACCCUAAAACCCAUGAGGUUUAUAUAGAUUCUCCUAUGGGCUUAAGUGACUUUGGCCCAACAUGGAAUUGGAUCACUUAAUUUAGCCCAAUGUGGGUUUGGGUCACUUAAUUUAGCCCAACGUAGGUCAAUUGAUUUUGCCCAUGAUGUCUUAAUUAAUUAAUUAACUCAAAUGAGCUCCAAUUAAUUAAUUAGCCUACACAAAAAAAAAAAUCAUCAUAAAAUCUUGUGCAAUGUUAUGCUAUUACCAAAAUGGAUUUAUGCACAUAAAUGAUUAAUUCUCCAUAAAACCUUAAAAUAAAUAAUCAUAAGUUUUUACACAACCUUACGCUUUUAACAAACCACACUUAUGCAAAAAUGAUUAAAUCUCUAAUUUCCCUCAAACCUUUGUGCCAACAAAGACUUUGAACUUGAGUGAGGACUACUAGGACCCAUAGGAAAUACUCACUUUCUUAUAAUCUAAUUUUGACAUUGAUUCAACACUCCACUAAAGAGAGUCAACUCCAUUUUAAUAUCUAAUUUCAUUACAUUAAGAUAAGAAUUAAUUAAAUCCGGUUGAAUAAUUUUCUCCAAUUUGUGACUUCCUAACAUACAAACCCCUUAUAAAUUGAUGCUCUUGAUCUAACAAGAUAACUGCUAUCAACCUCUUAAGAUUACCACAAUACUUGAGUUUUAGAUCUUCCUAUUAUGUAAUCAAAUGAUAUUCUCUAGCUCACUACGAAAAAAAUGCCUUUUAUGUUUAUUUUUGAGAAAUACUUAGAAUCACCAUUAAAAAAAAAUAAAGGAGAAAACAAAGUAAUAAAAUUAAAACCCUAAGUAACUCCAACAAUGGAAAACAAGGCAAUGGCUACAAAACCUAGAUAUCUCCAUUCCUAUCCUUGGACCAUUAGGGUACAUGUAAACUAUCCUAGGAGCUCUAUAGAUCUAACAAGUAGAAACGCAAUAUACAAUAAAACUUAGAUCUUGAGAAAAGUGUGUUUUCCCUAUGAUUUGGAUGUUUCCAAUUCAAAUCUUGUCAAUGAAGAGUCAAUAUGGAUCUUGCAAACUAGUAAAUCUUGCACCCAAUAGCUCCUUUUUGGAUCCUGACACAAGAGAAGGUUGUUAGCAUCUUAGAUAUAAGCAAUAACAUCAAUACCAAUUUUUUUUAAAAAUUGAUCUUUAGGGUUAAAAUACUAACCUUUAGGUUUGAAUGUUCCCAAAUUUUAAAUUCCAAGUAUUGAAGAUAACUUUGAAGUUGUUGGAAGUAUUAUAAACCCACGAUCUUUCGUCCGAUGACUCAACCUUGUUUUUGGCACACUUCCUAUGGGGAGGAAAAAAUGGUGGAGGUUAUGACUCUCUUUCUCUUUGGAUGGUGGAAAACAAAAAGAGAUGGAAACCCUUGCCCCUAGGGGGUAUUUAUAAGGUUCAUAUAUAAUUAGGUUUAAGUGACUUAAACCCACAUGGACUUGGGUUACUUAAUUUAACCCAAAUUGAGUCAUAAUUGAUUAAUUAACCUAAUAAGAUCUACUAAUUAAUCAAUUAACAUAAUUUAGAUACUUGGUUCACUUACCCUUGUGCAAUCUUAUGUAAUUACCAUAACACCUUUGUGCACAAAAGUAAACCUAGAACUAAUUUGACCAUUCUAACCCAUGCUAAUAAGAUAUAUGAACCCAAAGCAAUGACCACUAGGACUUAUAAGAGUACUGGCUCCCUUAUAAUCCAAUUAUGAAGUUGAUUUAACAUCUCACUAUAGAGAAUCAGCCAAGCUCUUGUAACCUAUAUAAAUAACAAUGAGACACUAUGUGCUUAGGUCCAUGACUUGCUAUCCAUUGCGUUCAGUCUCCUUAUGAACUAGUGACCAUAGUCUAACAAGGUGAAAACUAGCUAUUAGCCUUUCAAGACUACCUCUACUAUUCUUGAGUUACAGAUCCCCCUAUUAUGUGUUCAACUGACAUGUCUUAACUCUUAAAGAGUCAAUGUCAAAUUCCACUUAAGGAACUACUAUAACCAUAAUUUUCAUGAACACAACUCCUUAGAAUCACCUAGGGGGACACUUUGUCUUAAUCACAUGAGAUAUCAUGGUGCCUCUAUUGAGAACACCUAUUACUAUAGACUUCUAUCAACAGUGACCUAACUAAUCCAUAGGGAAUAUAUGAUCAGUUUACAAUUUCACUCAUAGCUCAAAACUACUAAUAACUUUAACACAAGUUCAAUAUUCUCUUAAGGUUGAGAGACAACAUAAUGAAGCAUCUUGGUGAGGUCAUGACUACUUGAUAGCCUUAAGUCAUGACUUGUCUAAUAUGUAACAUUACACACUAGUGCACUCAUUAUAGGAAACUCAUCCCGAUUGCCAAGACCACUCAUUUCUCUAAUUAGGAGGUGAUGCACUACAACCUCUAAUGGGUUGCUUAGACCCACGAAUCGACUGUGAAUAAGUCAUCUAUUUGUAAGGAACCCAUGACUUGAAUCUUCUGUGCAACUUGUAAUGCAGCCAAGUCAUAUACAAUGAAAAAGAUACAGACAAGAAAACUUAUAUAGUGUAAUGUAUAGAAUAAGGAUAGAUAAAAGUGAAACUAGAAUAUCAUUAAAUAAAUAAUGAAUUCUAAAUUUGUUACAUCAUGUCAUACUUUUAAGGGCUCUAUCAUAAUAAAAGUGAAAUCCUCUUUAAAGAGGUAGAGGUUAGGGCUUUUCUCUCUAGAAAUGUAAAUGACAAGAAUGUUGAAGCCUUAACCCCUUAGGAGGUUUAUAUAGGUUUUUUGCUAGCUUAGGUAACUUAAUCCAACCCACUUGAAUCUUAAUUAAUUAAUUAUCCCUAUUGGGAUCCAAUGAAUUAAUUAGUCUGGUUCACAAAGACCAUGCAUAAGCUCUUAUGUAGCCCUAUGUAUUUACCAAAAUACUUUUAUGCACUCAUGAAUUUAGAACCCAAAAAUCCCUCAAUAACUAUGCUAUUAUGGAUAUGAGCUCAAGUACAAACCAUUAGGACCAAUUGGAAAAUAUAGGCUCCUUCAUACUACAAUUCUAAAGAGCAUGCAACAUCUCACUACUGUAGAGAGUUAAUUAUACUCCAAUAUCUUAUGAUAUUAUAAUGAGAUACUAACCUCGAGUUUAUGACCCAUUAUUCACUGUAUACAGACUUCUUAUGAAUUGAUGUUUAUAAUCUAGCGAAGUGAUGAUAUUAACCUUUUAAUAUUACAUCUAUAAUCGUUACAAACAUUGGUCUCUCUUACAGAUUUAUUUCAGGCUCUGUUGUUCCCUGCUCACCUAGGGUAGGUGGCAGUUGAGCCAAUGGUUCUUUUAGCAUAUCUUCCUCUUCACCUGGUGUUGAAGGCAUUUGGGGCACUUGAGGCAUAUCCUCUUCUUCAGCCCUUUCUUCUACAGCUAGGAGUAAUCCACCCCUUCUCAAUUCAAUUUCAAUUUUCUUCAUCUCAAUUUUCAUUUUAAUCAAAUUCUUUUCAUAGUCUUUCGGUCCAUGUGUUGCUCUUUUAUUGUUACUUCCUCUUCAUCCUCAGCAAAUGGGUGCCUCAUGGCCAUCUGAUAGGUUGUGAGAAAUCUGGGUAUCUUAAGUUUUGCUUUCUUAGCACUCUCUAGCCUCUUCAACUGAUUCAACUCGUAUGAAUGGAUGAAGUUUUUCUCAAUCAGUGUUAGCAGGUCGGCAUAUUCAUCUGUAUAAGUUGCAUACAGGCCCCCAACUUAAAAUGCUUCCUCUCUUGUUCAUGGCCAGUGGGGUUAAUAUUGUGGCAGAUGACAUGGUCAACUAGCUUCUUCUGAUAGGGGGCCCACUUUCAUUUGGUGUAACUUUUCUGGGUCUUCCAGCAGGAAUAUUCAUUUAAGAUCUCUUCCACUGAGUGCUUCUCAGGGGCUUUAAGACCUAAGUCAACAAAGCACUCAGUGGCUUUAAUACCUAAGUCAACAAGGUGUUGGCCUUGCAGCUCACUCAGAGCUGCAAUCUCUGCUCUGGGCAUCUUGUACCUAAUGCCAUCAACUCGGAAGAUAACGAGUCUGUCAGCAUGGUCCAAAUUCUCUACCUUUAAGCUCUGAUAGAUUAACCUCACUAGCCAUGGGUAGUGUUACUUGGGCAGUCCACUUGUCAUCAUGCCCAUAUUGUAUUUAAACGGGAUCUCUGCAGACGACAUCGCCUCUUCCAUUUCUGCUAGUUGCAGAUCUUGAUAGGUUUUUUGGGAUUAGAUAUCUCUCAUUUGAUAAUCUUUGUAGGGUACUUCUCUGGCUGGAAUAGUUUCUUAAGCCAGAGCUGGUUGUUGGGUAGCCAUCUAAUCUGGAAUCUCCUCAGCAGGGCUGAACAGGAGCUGGAGCUUCAGGUUGGAUUUCUGGUUGUUAGGAUUUUUACCUUCCUGCCAUGAACACUCAAAAACUGAUCAAUGGAGUUGUUAGAGUUCAUAUAUUCAAUGUGUUGCAACUUGUUAAUUUAUUUUUGUUCUUUUUCAAAUAAUUGCUUUCCUUCAAAAUAUAUAUAUAUGUAUAAAGUAGGUUGUGAGGUUUAAUUUAAGUGACAAAGAGAUUGAUCUAAGUGAAAUUUUCUAUAUAUUUUAGAAAAUUUUUAAAAAUUAAAAAUUAAAAUUAUAUUGAAAAUAAAUUUAAAUAAAUUCUAACACCCAGUUUGUGGUUGAAAAUAGACACUAUUUCAAUAAUUAUAAAAUUGAUAAAAACCCAAUGUAAUUGCUUAUACGAGUAUCAAUUUUAUUUUUUAUAUAAGUUAAUUAUACUUCUAUAUUUUGAUGUGUAAAAUAAACUUCUUUUUUGGUACACUUGAUUAAUGGUUACUAUUAUUAAGCAAUUACAAUAAAAGUAGAUAAUUUUUAUAGAGAAAUAGGUAUUGAGCUGUUUGUAAAGUAUGUGUAACAUAAUAUUAAGUAUAGAUGACAAUAGGGUAGGUUUUUUAAAGUAUCACCCCACCAUGCCCCUAAUGAGUUAGGUUUAAAAUUUAAAUAAACGGAUUAAGGGUAGAUUUGAGAUUUUUUUUAAAAACCCGGGAUUGGUUCGAGGUAGAUUCAAGUAUUGACUUAUCCCCACCCCACCUCGAUUAUAUAUAAAAUUAAUUUAAUUUAAUUUUUAUAUUUAUAUAUUUAAUAUAAUAAUAAUAGAAAACAUUUUUUAAUAAAAUAAGUUAUAAAAAAAUUAUAAUAUUUUUAAUUAUUUAUAAAAUAUAUUUAUUUUAAUGUAGUUAAAAAUAUUUUAAAUAAUUUAAAAGAAAAACUAAAAACUUUUAAAACAAAAGUUGAAUGGGUUGAGGCAAGACGAGUAUGAGAAAUUUGCAUACCUGCUCUGCCCAUUUAAUUUUUUAAAUGAGACAAAAAUGAUAAUUAUUUUGAAUAAAUGGGAUAAGAUUAGGAUGAAGGUGAUUCGUCUUGAACCUGCUCUAUUAUUAUCUUUAAUCUUAAUUUGAAAACUUCUAUGGGAUGUAAGCUUCAAUUUGAUGUUGCUUGACCAUCAACAUCGACCAACUUAUUUAAGUUGUUAGCCUACAUCAAUUGAAUAUUGCCAUACAUUAAAAGUAACGAUACUUGGAAAAACGUCAUUAUACUGCUAGAUUUUCAUUUUUAUAAUGCAAUCUCAAUUUAACCUUAAUCAUAAAUAAUAAAAUCCAUAUGGAUUUUUUUCCAUGAGCGUUUAUAUAAAAAUUUAGACCACAUGCGCGGAGUUUUCAAUGCAGCAAUAUAGUUUCACUGGUGAAUGCUUUAUAAGGGUUUACCCAUAAAACCUAAAACCUAAAAAAAAAUAAAAAUUCCUCAAAGUGUUUCGUUGAGGGAAUGAAGCGGCUACCAAAGUAAAAAUGAAGAAAAAGAAGAAGAAGAUCGUCAUGAAGGUGGCUAUCAUUUUUCUUAUGUUGUUGAGUCAAUGAUUUAGCACCGAAAAUACUCCUAGCCAGGUAUGCGCAUAAAAAUUUUCAGUCACAAUGUUUGCUUUUACGGUUUGAGAUGUAGAAAGACAAGUUUUUAAGAUGGCUACCACUUAUUUGACAUCAUCCCAAAAGGAAAUUCUGGAUUUUACCCCUUCCUAGCAAAGAUUUGGUAUGGGUAGAUAUUAAAUCUCAUCCUUGAUACAAAAAUAAAUAGGAAUCCUAUCUUUUCCAUUUCAUGGUUCAUUGUUUCAAUAAAUUGCAAACAAAUUCAAAUCAAAAACAUUAAAAACAUAAAUUUAGAAAGAUUGGGCAUCUUAUUUACGCAUGAUGAAUGGAGAGACAAAGAUCAAUGAUGGGAAUUGGGUAGAGUGGUGAAAAAGAGUUUCAAUAUGUAAAAGCAUAUCUCAAUAGACGAUGAGAUAAUUUUUUUUAGUUUAUUAUUCUUAACCUUUUCAUUUGGUGAAAUGAAUUUGACAUGAGAAAUAAUUAAAGAUGAUAAGACAAUGGUGAAUUGGUGAAAUGAACUUUACAUGUCAUAUGCCAUAUGUGCCAAAUUUAGAAUAGCUUGAGUACGGACUAUUAGUAAAUUUGCUUCCUAUUCUAAGUUCUCCCAUAUGGAGGCUGGUAAUCCACAAGUGUGGGACUUAAUUUUGCCUAUGGAAGACUUAGUUUUGAAUUUAUGAGAUGACAAUCAACAAGUGUGAUACUCUUGUGUCCUUUGCCUUGAAUCACACCAUAGGGCACCCAUGGACACCCUUUGUGGCUAUUGUUUACCUUUUCUUGAGUCUUUUAUUACUUUCGUCCAUGUACAUCCCUAAAAAUUGAUAAAUUUGGUGAAUUCCAAAAUUGAUUAAAUUUUGAUUGAAAUAUUUAGUGUUGCUCUCCAUAUUUAAACUCUUAAGGUCAAAUCUUUAACUUCAAGAUUAUAGGUUAGUUUUUUUAUUACUUGGAACCUAGGUCAUGGCAAGAACCACAUUGAUUGUCAAACUAGUUGACUUUAAGAAAGUCUUGCAAGCUUUGGAGGGGGGAUAAGCUGAUUUAGUGAGGUUGGAGAAGAACAAGUCGUUAAUGGUCAUUGCACAUAUUGUGGGAUUAUGUGUCUUGGAUUGAGAAAAGAAGAUGUGUAGUUCUGUAUUGUCAUUGUGAAGAGGUGAAUUGAAUCAAACAUUAGAAUUUUGUUUUAUUCUUUUUCUCUAAUUUUCUAUUUCUUAGCUAAGAGAUUCUAAGUAAAGAAAAGAAAAAUAUGCAAUUGAUAUGAAGAUUUGCAUGAGAAAAACAAAGUUAUCCUCUCAUUAACAAUACUAUUUUGAAUAUUUGGAUACAUAACAAGAAUUGAAUAAACAUAAAGUUACAAGUAUUGAGAUGACAAUCAAAAUGUGUGAAACUCUCAUGUCCUUUGCCUUGAAUCACACCAUAGGACACUCAUGGACACCCUUUGUGGCUAUUGUUUACCUUUUCUUAGGUUUUUCAUUGCUUUUAUUCAUGUACAUUCCUAAAAAGUGACAAAUUUGGUGAAUUCUAAAAUUGAUUAAAUUUUGAUUGAAAUAUUGAGUGCUAGUCUCAAGAUUUAAACUCUUAAGAUCAAAUCUUUUAACUUCAAGAUUGUAGAUCAAUUGGGCUUUUUAUUAUUUGAAACCUAGGUCAUGACAAAAGCCACGUUGAUUGUCAAGCUAGUUGACUUUAAGAAAGUCUUGCAAGCUUUAGAGGGAGGGUAAGUUGAUUUAGUGCAAUUAGAGAAGAACAAGUCAUAAGUAAUCAUUGAGCAUACUAUGGGAUUAUGUCUCAUGUAUUGAGAAAGGAAGAUGUAUAGUUCUACAUCGCCAUUUGUGAAGAAGUGAAUUAAAUCAAAUAUUAAAAUUUUAUGUUAUUCUUUUCCUCUAAUUUUCUAUUUCAUAGCUAAAAGAAUAUUCUAUGUAAAGAAAAGAAAAGAAAAACAAGCAAUUCAUAUGAAGAUUUGUAUGAUAUCAUGAAGUUAUCCUCUCAGUAAAAACACUAUUUUGAAUAUUUGAAUAUAUAACAAGUAUUGAAUAAACAUAAAUUUACUAUUUUUGGCUAUUAAUAUUUUCAUUAAAUCCAAAUUGUGCAUAUUUUCUAUAGCUAAAACUUAAAACCAUAUUUUAUAAUUCAUAUGAGAAAGGACUAGAGGAGUGCUUCUGAAUCUUUGUCCUAGAUUCUUUAGAGUUAGGUGAUUUUUGGCCAUAGGUUUAUACUAAAGUUCAACCUUAUAACUACUCAUGAUUUACCUUGAUUUCAUCAUUUUAGUUCUUUUUGAUUCACCUUCUUUUAGAGAUUUUGUUGAUGUAAUUGUAGGAUAUUUUCCUUGUGACAUGAUAAUAGGUAAUUUUCCUUCUUUCCUUCCAUAGUUCUUGCUCUUAUAAAUAUAUGCACAAAGCAAACGUCAAUAUAGGAAAAUUGUUUCCAAGAUAAUUUUUUUCCUUAAGCUUUUAUCUUUGAUUAUGACUUCGUUACAGACAACCUCAUCUUCUAUUAUGACUUAAGUUUUUUCUAUUAAGUAAUAUCACUAAUUAUACUUCAACCAGAUUAAAUGAAACUAAUUAUCUCUAAUGAUGGUGAAGUGGGUUUGUUCCUAUUCUUGUAGACAAUGAUAUCUAUGGAUAUGUCAAUUUACAUUGCUUUAUUUCUUUUUCAUGUAACAGUUGUAUCUAACUUGAUGUUAUUCUUACAGUGAUGUCCUCUAGAGGUGGUAGGACUUUUGUGAAUCAAGCUCUAAUUGAUGGGAAUGUUGGUUUCUUGAGAAAUCAAUUUCUAUCAGCCAACUCAUGGAGGAGUGAAAGUCUGAGUCGAGGGUAGAGUGCCCAGGACCAGGAUAUCUGAAGAAUUAAGAUAAGAGAGGGGCACUAAGGAAAGAACUGCCAUGGAAUUGACUUCCAUGGAUACAAUCCAAAAGGGAAGAAUUAGCAAGUCACAGAUAUGGAUGUUGGUAGAGGUAAUAAGACAAUUGAAUAAAUUGUUGUAACUGAACACCUGAGAAUGAAAGUUGACCGAAAACAAGGAUGCAACAACAAAAAGAGAGCAAGAACGAAAGUUGACUAAAAACAAGGAUGCAACAAUAAAAAGAGAGCAGAAUGUGAUAAAUAAAGAAAAUACCAGUUACAAAAGGAAAACUUGAACACUCUCCUUCCAAAGGUAAAAGUUCCUAUAGAAGGCAAAUCACUUGUUUUUAGCAUAUCAAAGCUCUAAUGGAAGACAAUUUGUUUGUCUAUAGAGGAUAUCAAAAUUAUAGUUUCAACUACAUUAUGGAAGAAGGAACAUAUGUAUAGUAUGAGAUAUACAAUUAAAAAUGCAUUCAAUGUUGUAUCAUGAAAGUUUCUGCAGAGAUCAAUAGAGUUUUAACUUCCAAAGCAAGAUUCACGAAGUGGAUUUUAUUACAAAGAGAAGCAAAGAAAAUCUCGUAAGAAAAAUUACAAACUGGCAUUCUCUAAACUUUAAAAUUAUCUCAGUCUAAUUUCUCUAAUUCUCCAUCUAAUAUCUAUCUCUCUAUAUCUCCUAAAUAACUAGAUAGCGAGCUAUUUAUAGGCACUUUAUCAGUUUCUAGCUCAAUUAUAGCUUGUCACGUACACAAUAUAAUAAAAUCUAGUAAGUAAAUCUUCGCAUACUUCCUCAAUAAAUGUUUUCUUUCAUGGCCUUAUUAUGAUUAUUUGCUUUGCAAGGAAUAGCUUCAACCCAUUUCAACACAUAAUCCACUACCAUAAGAAUAUAGUGAAAACUAGAGGAAGGUGGAAAAGAUCCCAUAAAAUCAACACUUCAACAGUAAAAAACUUCCACCACACAAAUGUUGUGUAGUGGCAUUGAUUAUCUCUUACUUCACUUUUUCCUAGGUGUUGGCAUUUUUCACAUCUCUUGUACGUUACUCGCAAGUAUUCUUCAUAAGAGUGUUCUAGUAGAAACCUGACUAUAGUACCUAGGUGUUAGUUUUCUUGGAAGCUAAAUGUUAUCUACACACAUCAUCAUGACACAUUUUCAACAUGCUUUCUCUUUCUUCUUCUGGAAUGCAUCUUCUUAUAAUCUGAUCAUGACAAUACUUAAAUAACAAAUGUUCUUCCCACUUGUUAUUCUUGGACAAAAGGAAUCUUCUAUCUUCAGCGGUCUAAUUAGUAGGAAGUUGACCAAUUACUAGGUAAUUGACUAUGUCAGCAUACUAAGAUAUUUUCCUUUUGAUGGAGAAAGCUUCAUCAGGAAAGUUUUCAUUAGAUUCUUCUCCUUUAAACUUAGUCACAAUUCUAGAUAAGUGGUCAGCUACCAUAUUUUCUACUCCUUUCUUUUCUUUGAUUUCCAAUUAAAAUUCUUGUAAGACUAGUAUCCAACAAAUUAAUCUGUCUUUCGCUUCCUUUUAUAUAUUAAAAGAUACUUCAAAGCAGAGUGGUCUGUAAAUAUCAUAAUUUUGGUUCCAACAAGGUAAGUUCUGAAUUUGUCUAGUGCAUACGCUACUACUAACAACUCAUUUUUCUAUGAUCAUAUAGUUUUUUUGUGCAUUGUUUAGCAUCUUGCUGGCAUAGUGGAUGACAUUGCUUAUUCUCUCGACAACUGUGAGUACAUAGCCACUGGUGUUGCAAAUAAGUUCAAAUGGCAAAUUCCAAUUGGGGAGUUCUUACCACUAGUGCAGAUACAAGUUUCUCCUUGUAACUUUUCAAAUACAAGCUAGCAUCUCUUUGUCUAUAGAAAUUCAGUGUCUUUCAAUAGUAAAUUGCACAAUGGUUGAACGAUUUUUGAGAAAUAUUAGAUAAAUCACCUGUAGAACCUUGCAUGCAUGGCUUAAGAAUUAGUGUACUUUUCUAACUAUAGUAGGACUUAGCAGUUUAGAGAUCAAUUUAACUUUAGCUUCGUCAGCCUUUAUACCUCUCUCUAGUAUUACAUGGCCUAGGACUAUCCCUUGCUUGACCAUGAAGUGACACUUUUCCUAGUUCAGCACAAAACCUUUCUCAAUACAUUUCUUCAGUACUUUUUACAUGUUUUCCAAUCAAGCUAUAAAUAAGGGUCCAUAAACUAUGAUAUCAUCCAUAAAUACUUCCAUCUCCUUUUAUAAGAAUAUUGAAAAAAUGGUCACCAUGCAUCCUUGAAAUGUCUCAAGAGUAUUGCAUAAUCCAAAUGACAUUCAUCUAUAAAGCAUACCUGUCAAAUGGAUUAGUAAAUGUUGUCAUCUCUUAGUCUUCUGAUGCAAUUGGUAUUGAAAAUACCCUGAAUACUCAUCCAAGAAAUAAUAAUAGGAUCGGAGUAGCCUACAACUUUCUCCAAGGUUUGGUCCAAAACAGCAACAGAAAAUGAUCCUUCCUUGUUACUGCAUUUAGCUUGCCGUAAUCAAUACACACCCACCAACUUGUAGUAAGUCUAGUAGGUACCUCCUCUCCUCUACCAUUCUUGAUACCCUUAUGCCGCUCUUUCUAGGAACCACUUCCCAAGUAUUGUCAAAGAUGGAGUAAAUGAUUCCAACAUCCAACAGUUUAAUUACUUUUGCUCUUAUUAGAUCUUGCAUUGGGGGGUUAAGCCAUUACUAUAGUUGGAGAAUGGGUUUUUUAUCCUCCUCCAAGAAUAGUGAUGGGUGCAGAGAUUGGGGUUGAUUCUUUUUUAAGUCCUCAAGAAAUCCUCUUAUCACAUUUUUGAAUUGUUUUAGUACUUGAAUGAGCUUUUGCUUUUUAGUUAGAUCAAGAGAUGUGACUAUAAUAACUUAAUAAUCCUCUCCUUCUCCAAGGUAGAUAAACUUGAGUCCUUCAAGUAUUGGUCUUUUCUUUUUCUUUCUUUUUCAUUUUCAACUUUUUCUACUGUACGUGAAUAUUUCUUCUUCCUAUUUCCACAGUUUUAUUACUUUAUCUUUUGUUUGGUAUGCAAUGGAUAUAUCAUCCAACCCUUUGUAGUUUGUGAUCAACUGAUAUUCUAUCAAGUUGUCCACAGGUUCUUGAAUUAACGUUUCCAUCAAGCAUAUUUUUGUUGGCUCUUCUACUUCUAUCUACAACACAGGGCUUUUUGUUAGCAGGAACACAUUGGUUUCCAAGGUCAUGACUCCAAAGGUUAGCUUCAUUAUCCCAUAUCUGUAAUUAAUCAAGGCAUUAUCAAUAGCCAAAAACAGUUUACCCAGAAUUACUGGUAUUGAAUUUGAAUUCCUCUUUGGCUACUCAAUAUCAAGUACUAUAAAAUUAGCAUGGUGUUAUAACCUAUCCACCUAAAUUAGGGUGUCUUCUACCACUCCCUUCAGUAUUUUUACUAUUGUGUCAACCAAAUAUAAUGUGGUUACCAAGCUUUUGAUAUGGUGAAAAUGGAAUCAAAUUGACAUUUGCUCCCUAGUCAAGCAAUGAUCUUUUAAUUAUUACUUCUACUAUGGAUAUUGUUAUAGUAAGAUAGCCAGAAUCCUUAAAUUUGAUUGGGGUUUUGCAUUGAAUAAUUGCACUAACCUACCCUGUUAAGAACACUUUCUUGUCAAUAACCAUUUCUCUUUUCACUAUGCAUAGGGCUUUUUUAGGAAUUUUACAUAGAUUAGUACUUGACAUACCAUAUCUAGAAGAGGUAUGCUGAGUUUAACUUGGUAGAGUACAUCAAACAUGCACUUUAGUAUAUUGGUCAUCUUCAUUUCUUAGAGCUUGAGGAAAUAGGUUCCUCCUUAGACCUUGGGUGAUCCAAAAGACAUGUGAUUAGGAAGACUAUGACGAUAAUAAUUCAUUUAAUGGAAUUUGACAUAUACUCUUUAGAGCUAUAAUAUGUCAAUUGAUCACAUAACAGAUACAUUAAUAACUAAAGGAUUGAAGAAAUAAUUUUGAUAAGUUGAUAGCAUUACUUUAUUGGAUUAUAAACACUAGGUCAUGGGGGGUUCACAUGCAGUGGAUAGUAAGUCAUGAACUUAAGCUUCGCCCCAUUGUAAUUUCAUAAGAUAUUGGAGUACAGUUGAUUCUCUAUAGUAAAGUGUUGAAUUAACUUCAAAAUUGAAUCAUAAGGGAGUUGGUAUUUUUCUAUGAGUUUGAGUGGUCCCCAAUCAAGCUCUUAAUUUAUGGUGGCAUGUUUUAUUUAAGGGAUUUGGUUUUUGGUUCGCAAGUGUGCAUAAUGGCAUUUUGGUAAAAGCGCAAGAUUGCAUUAGAUCUCAUGGAUUAUAUUUUUAAAGUAGGCUAAUUAAUAUUAAAGUCCAAUAGAGCUAAUCAAUUAAUUGAGACCUAGGUGGGUUAGAUUAAGUGACCUAAGCCCAAUUUGGGUUCAAGUCACUUAAGCUAAUAAGGGGCCUAUAUAAACCUCCAACCCACAAAAAGCCCUAUAUAAACCUUUAUAAGGGUUUAAGGUUUAGAUUUUUGCCACUUUUUCUCCAUAAGAGUUUUCCGAAGAGAAGUCUUGGCCACCCUCAAGUUCUCUUUCAUGCUUAGAUUCGCGUAAGGAGAGGUUGGGUGGAAGAACACCAUGUAGACAAGUUCUACUCAAUAUCUUCAUUGGCUUGGUUUUUAUGUCAUUUUUUAUAAUUUUUCUCAACAUUUUCAUAAAUUUUGAUUAAUUUUUCGUAUGAUCGAUAUUUUAUGUUAGGAUAUCCAUCGAUAUUUUUCAAUAUAUUUCAAUAUAUACAUCAAAUUGAGUUAUCAAUAUAUUCAUAAAAACCGAUAUUUGUACCUUAUAAGUGCCUUAAAGUUGAAACCAUGGGGCAAUUUGUGUCCCAAAAGGACACUUCUCGAGCGAUAUGACGGGUCCUCUAAUACUUGUUCUAUUCUAAAUCCACCACUAAGGCUAUCAUUUACACUACAGAUUUUUUUUUUUUUUUUCUCUUUUAAUUAAUUUCUUUUAAGCCCUUGAUUUUCCUGCCUUGGCCAUGCACCUUCAAUCCAAAGAACUGACUGAGACACACUGAAAAGAUGCAUGUUAAACCUCAUUACUAGGACAUUACAAUGAAUUUGACCAAAAACAUAGAAUAAUCACUUAACCAGCUAGGUUCUAAAUAACAUCCACAAACCUGUUACGGAAUGCAAAUUGGAGUGAAUUUUAACAAAGAAGCAUAAGCGAAAGAACACCAUAUGGGUCUUGCAGACUAGAAUAAUUGAACUUUAAUUUUACUUCCAAGUGAGAUACAACUCGAUCCUUGUUUAGUUGUCUUGAAAUUAAGCUGAUGAAUAGGAAAAUAGCAUAAUUCAACACAUCAUAUGUAGGAUGUGUCUUACCCAGAAAAAAGGAAAAAGGAAAAAAUCUUUGAGUUUGUUAAUGUAGGACAUGAAUUCCCAAGUUGCAUAUUGGUCUCCAUGGCUCAAUUUGAUUGUCCAAAUUUCAAAUGACUAUGGCAUCCAACUCAGCAAGAUUUGUUUUUGUGAUACUUGUCGUUUUCUUCAUGUAACGUUUCUCUUGGUUUCUAACAAAGCCAUCAUCAAUUAGUGGCUAAACCAGUAAGGAAUGGACCCACUUGGCUUUGGACAGCCUACAUGGCGGUGGAACCUAUCUUUUUCAGGCUUAUGUCCAAUUUGAGCCCAAAUACUAACAACUUCAAAGGAAGCUAAUGAUCGGGUACCAAAAAAAACAUUAUGUUCAUAUACUAAGAGUGUGUUUGACAGUAAUUAUAAAAAUGGUUUAUAACAUCUUUAAUACUUGAAAGAUAAAAAAUUUCAAGUGUUAAAAAAACUAAAAACACUUUUUAGACUCACUACCAAACGAAUUUUAAGCAUUUAAAUCAAUUUUAUUGUAGAACUCGGCCGAUCAUAAAGAUAAUUAUACACUCAGACAGACAGGAAAAUACAUCGGACAGAAUACAGAGGACAUUAUUCUAAAAUACAUAACCAAGACAGGAAAUUACAUCAGCCAAAACAUAGAGGACAUUGUUCUAAGAUAUACCUAAUCCAGUGAAGGAUAUUAUUAAUCCAUGAUUUUCCUAAUCUACAAGGGAAUUGAAUCACUCCAAGAGGGGCCAUCUAGAGCUGAAGACCUUCUUCCAGGAUGGUCUAUUACUGAUAUCAUCCCACCAUGCCUUCACGUGUUUCCUCUCCUCAAUCAAAUACAUCUUCCCCAUAUCAGCCAAGUACUUUGUGAAUGGAAGGUGGCUAAGAUCAGCAAGGCUAAAGAAAUCCCCAGCCAGGUACUUGCUCUUGGACAGCCUCUCUUCAUAGAUGUCCAACACCUUUGCAAGCUUCUUUUCACUCUCUUCGAUCACUUUCGCAUCUGGGGGAAUACCCCGUUUGCGGCCAAACAGAAUUUCAAUGACUAAAUUGUCAAUUGCUGGGUGGUAACUUUGUGCUUCAACCUCCAGCCAUUGUUCCACCACUCCCCUCUCCUCUAUUGUCUUCCCCAGUAAAUCAGUUCCUUGAGACUUGUACUUCUCAGCAUAGUACCUCAUGAUUGCACGAGAUUCUGAAAUUCAAAUCAUACUCAUUCAUCAAGAACCCAAAGGGCCUGUUUGGUAAAACAAAUAAAUUGUUUUCAGCAAUUCAUGGGGUUCUAAGCUUUACUGAAAAGAUCAACUUUGAGACUAACACAUCAUAAAUCACUUAAAGAGUGAAAAAGAGCAUUCUAAUCUUAAGUGGAAAUGUUGUCUUUAUAAGAAAGGCAUUUCUGUAUAUGGAAUACUACUAUAGAAAUUCUGUGAUAGAAAUUUAUUAGAAGUGAGAUCACUGAAAAUUACCAAAUAAGGUAUAGUCUCCAUCUUGAAUGACAGGAACAACUCCAAAAGGCUGCAUUUGAUGAGAGAAAGAAGCAUAAAUUAUCAACAAUAUGUACAACAAAUCAAGAAAUUGUGAUACUUCAAUCAUUAAGCCUUUGUUUGGCUCUCAACAACUGCUGCAAAAAAAAAAAAUGAAAGGAAAUUUAAUGAAGUUCGAGUUUGAACUCCAUCAAUUCCUUCUCUGUUGAUCUUAUUUCUACUUAAAAGCUUUUCGAAAUCAUCAGCUUUUUCACUAACACCACAAAUCGAAAUCGUCUCGUUUCUUAUGUUGUUCCUGAGCUCAAAACAAAGCUUUAAACGACAAGAAGAAAUUAGAACCUGCAACUUCAGGAAUUCUGGAUCCUUAUUCUGUCCUUUGAUGAUAUCAAUGGGGAGAGUCUCGAAUUCGACCUCCUUCUCAAUGAGGCAAACAAGCACGCGCUUUGCAGAAGCAAAAUCUGGGCCAUACACCUUCACCACCAUUGUUGUUAUCUUGAUUUAUCUCUCAAAGAUCUAGUAAAAACAACGACCGGCGUUUGGGUAGAGGGGUUGAUCUUGAGGCCUUACAUGUAGUGGUUUUUCAAAGUCCAAGAGAUUCGAGAUCAUGCACCUUCUGCGUAAAAAAUGGGCACAUACAGUCAGAUAUUUGAGCAGCUUAUCAUUAAAAAGGGAAGAUGAAGAUUAAAAAAAUAGCAGAUAUUCUCCAAUGCGACUUCAUGGAUAAGAAGAGAAGGAAGGAAAUCGUAGUUUGACUACUUCUUUAAACUUUUGAAAUAGAUUCUAAUACUCACAUUUUUAAUUAGAGAUUAGAAAAGUUUUUCUCAUAAAAUUAUCAGUACAAUGAUGAAAAUGAAUGAUAAAGAUAUCCACUUUGGAAAGAUUUUUGAAAAAUUGGUCAAAAAUCAAAGAGAUUAUAAAAGUUUUUCUCAUAAAAUUAUCAAUUCAAUGAUGAAAAUGAAUGAUAAAGAUAUCCACUUUGGAAAUUUUUUUGAAAAGUUGGUAAAAAAUCAAAGAGAUUAGAAAAGUUUUUCUCAUAAAAUUAUCAAUUCAAUGAUGAAAAUGAAUGAUAAAGAUAUCCACUUUGGAAAAAUUUUUGAAAAGUUGAUCAAAAAUCAAUAAUUAAAAUUUUUUAUUUCGUUAGAUUUGAAGAGUGGAAAUUUUUUUGGAAUUAAAUAUAGAUUUGGAAAAAAAAAUUAGAAAUCAGAUGAUUGAGAUUUGAUUUUAAACAUUAAGUAUAUUGUAAAAAUUAAUAAAAUUAUUAUUAGGUAAUUAUUGUAAAACCUUAGUGAGAAAAAUUAGUUGAAAUUUAUAUAAUGUGGAAUUGCUAUAAUGAAUUGUUAGAAAUUGAAUUUAAAAUUAUAACAAAUAAAUUUAGUUUUAAUUGGAAUUAAUAAUUUUGAUUUUGAGGAUUAAUUAAAUUGGUAAAAAUACAAGUAUAUGAUUUAAUGUUAUUAGAAAUUAAAUUUUAUUGAGACAUAAGAUAUUUAAUUUAGAAAAAAAAAUAUAAUAUAAUAAAAUUUUAAUUUUUGGGAAUUGAAAUAUGUUUAGGGGCAUGUAUAAAAAAAAUAAUAUGGAGGAGUUGUGAAAUAAUAAUAAUACUAGGCUUAUAAAAAAUUUUAGAAAAGAAUAUGCCACUGUCUGUAAAAAAAAAAAUAUUAAAAGUGGCGGAAAGCCUUGGUCAAAAAAUUUAGGGAAUAAAGGUUAAAAGAGAGAGAGAGAGAGAGAGAGAGUGGAAAGUGGCAUGAAAGCCACUGCCUAUAAAAAAAAGUAAGCCACCUCCUAAUAUUAAACUGGUGGAAAUUCAAUGAAAAUUAUGUUAAGAGUCAAAUUUAGUAAUUAUUUAUUGGUGGCACACUUCAUGUGAAUUAAAAAAAUAUUUGUGUGAAGAUUUAGAAUUAUUUUGAUUGUAUUUAAAAGAUGAAAUUAAAAUUUAUUAGUGAUAUAUUAGUGUUAAGAAUAAUGGAGAUUAUUGAUUGAAAAUUUUGAGUAUUGUUAUAUGUCUAAACUACUUGUUUUAUAGUAUUAUUAUUUGAGUUGGGUUCAUUCUACAUCCAUGGUUGUUUGGAAAAGAAAAGUAAAGAAAUCAUGAUAUGAAAUAAAAAUGAAAAUUAAAAGACCCUAAAUAAGGCAAAAAUGAAAAGGUUAAAAAUAAGAAAUGGAAGAACCCAACGAAUACGAAUUAAAAAUCAAGUGAAAUCUUUAGCGUGAUUGAGAAUUAAAAGACAUCGAAAAGGGUAAAAUUAAAAUAAAUUUUUUUAAAAAUGGUAGAUUUUCAAGAAGGACGAAUUAAAUAUAGAAUGAGAUCUCUAGUGUGUAAGCAUUUGGAUCAUGUUUGCUUCUAGAUAAAGAAUUUAUAUAAACUAAUUAAAUGACAUCAAAUGUAUGUUUGAAUAUAUUAUUAAAAAAUGAUUUAUUUAUUUUGUAUAGGAAAAUUAGAAAUAUUUGUUAUGAUAUGCAUGAUUAAAGAAAGAAAUGUGAUAAUGUAGAUUGAUGUAAUUUUGUAUGAUUGAGUUUCAUUUAAUGUAUAUAAUGAAUAAAAUAUUAUUAUAUUUUGGUAUUUUAUGAUAUUAUAUUCACCUAGAAUUGUUAACCUGUUCGUGUGCAAAACAUCUAGUUAAGCAACAUGGGAAUACUCACCUCUUUCUCUUUAAAAUUUUAAAGAUGUCAAUGUAGUUUAUGAGAAUCACAAGAAAACAAGGAAGAAUUUCAAUAAGUCCCAUGAAGUCAAGGAACAACCUCAAUAAUUGUUUUAAAUUUCUAUUAAUUUUUUUGGUAUGUACUACUUUGAGUUAUAUGGAUUAUAGUAACCUAACAUAUAUAUUUUAAAUAUUUUAUUCGAAAAGAAAAUCAUGUACUAAAUCCUAAUUCAAUAAAAUUAAAUGAAACUAGAUAUCAAUUUAUUUUAGAAAAAUCAUAUUAUGAGGUUGAUUGUCAACUUGGAUAAGAGUAACCUCUAAGCUCACACUUUCGAUCUAGGUCAUGAGUUUGGCUCUAGAUUAGUAGGAAUUCAACAGUGACAUAUGCCUUGAGGAACCCACUUGAGAAAUUUGGUUUCUUGAAAGGUAACAAAUGAAGUGGUUAAGCUAGCAAUAAGGGAAGAGAGACUUGUUUUGGGAAUUUCUUCAAAUUCCAUACUGUUCUCUCCCUUUCUGUUUGACAUUUAAGAGUAUGAUGUGUUAAUCUAUCUUCAUACUCUUCCAUCUAAAGAGCAGACUGGGUUGAUUUUGAUCCAUUCUACGUUCAUCCCUUUCUUUAAAGGUGACCCACACCUUAAGAUUUUUGGUACAAUGUCCUACACUUGAAAAAUACCAAGCUCCAAAUGGAGAAAGAACACCCAUAAGCAUUCAAAUUGUUAUUCUUACAAAACCAUGGACAUAAAUCCUCAAGAGGACAACAAACAAGAUAGGAGAAAGAGAGCAGCCAGCCCUAGACAUGGAGGACAUUAUUUGAAAAUGUAAAUGGAGAAAGAACACCCAUAAGCAUUCAAAUUGUUAUUCUUACAAAACCAUGGACAUAAAUCCUCAAGAGGACAUCAAACAAGAUAGGAGAAAGAGAGCAGCCAGCCCUAGACUUGUAGGGCAUUAUUCCAAGAUUGGGGCAGGGUAGAGCUCAAGGACCUUUUUCCAAGAUGGCCUGCUACUAAUAUCAUCCCACCAUGCACUCACAUGCUCUCUCUCCUUAAUCAAAUACAUCUUGCCCAUAGCACCCAAGUAGUUAGUGAAAGGAAUGUGGCUGAGAUCAGCAAGGCUAAAGAAGUCCCCAGCCAAGUACUUGCUCUUAGACAGCCUCUCCUCGUAAAUGUCCAACACUUUCCCAAGAUUUUUCUCACUCUCUUCAAUCACUUUUGCAUCUGCAGGAAACCCCAUCUUGUCACUGAACAGAACGUGAAGAACUAAAUUGUAUAUUGGUGGGUGGUAGUUUUGUGCUUCAACCUCUAGCCACUGCUCCACAGUACCCCUUUCCUCUAUUGUCUUCCCAAGCAAAUCAGUUCCUUGAGACUUGUACUUCUCUGCAUAGUACCUUAUGAUAGCUCUUGAUUCUGCAAAUCAAAUUAAGAGCCAUCCAUCAAUGGUUUAUUUUUCUGAUUUUAGUUACAUAAUAUGAAGAAAUUUUGCAAUCCUUGACAUAAUUUUUCCUAGAAAAUUUCCAACCAAAGAAAACAAACCUAAAUACGAAAGGAUCACAAAAAUUUUACAAAGGGAUUUACCAUAUAAAGUAUAAUCUCCAUCUUGAAUGACAGGAACCACUCCAAAAGGCUGCAGUUCAUCAGAGAAAAGCAAUGGAAACUAUAAGCAGAUCCUCUGAUAGAUAUAGUUGAAUUUGAAACAUCAAGGGUGAUCCAAAAAAGGGUUGUAAGUUUAAUUUUGAAAAACUCCUCUUCAUCUUCUCUCAAUUUAUAAUCCUACCUUUUAAAACCAGAAAAUGGGCAGUAUCAAGAAAUUCAGCUUUCUGGGUAACUUUAAAAUCAAAAUUCCUCCUUUUUCUUGUUCUUUUUCCAAAGACUUUACUGAGAAUCAAACAGACCCUGAUCCAAAAUAAAAAAUUCCGAAAAAAAAAAAAAAAAAAAUACCUGUAACUUGAGGUAUUCAGGAUCCUUGUGCUCUCCUUUGAUGAUAUCAACUGGGACAGUCUCAAACUCAAUCUCCUUCUCAACAAGGCAAAUAAGGACACGCUUUGGACAAGCAAAGGCUGGGCCAUACACCUUCACCACCAUUUUUUUUUCUUCUUCGUUUUUUUUCAGGGCAACCAAACAGCUUUAAUAACUGAAUACUAAUAGCCCUUGAAGAGAGCCGUGAAUAAAUUUAUCACUCCAUCUUUCUCCUUUUCAUUUUUUCAAACUAGUACAUAACCGCACCUUUAAAAUGUGAUUAUAUUUGAUAUUUUCUUUAAAGCAUUAUAAAUAAUUUUUCAAAGUUUUAAAGGCAAAAGAUGACGUUUUAUCAUCUUUUUUUUCUUCAAAAGUUUUGCAAUAUUUGGUUUCGAAAGUAUUAAGAAAAAAAAAACGAAAAUUGGUUUUCUUAUGUUUUAUUUUACCGUAAAAAAAAUAUAAUUAAAAUUAAUUAAAAUUUUAUGCAUUUUAAAAUUAUUUAACAUUUAUAUAAUAAAAAAAUAAGUUAAAUGAGUUUGAAAAAACCAUAUAAAAUAAUUUUUAAAAUUUAAAUCUAUUUUUUAUUUUCAUUUACUCUUUUUUUUUCCUUUUAUAUUUUAUUUUUAUUUUUAUUUUCUCAUAUUUUUUCUUGAAUUUUUUGAGAGCCAAACAUACCCUUUAUGUUUUAGGUUUUCAAGAGUAUUGUCAAACAAAUAUUAACACCCUAUUUGAUAACUAUUUUUUAAAAUUGUUCUUUAAUAUUUUAUAAAAUAAAAAUCUUUUUGGAACCUAAAAUAAUUUUAACAUGUUUUUUUAAUAAUUUUUAUGUUUAAAGCUUUAUUUUUAAUCAUUAUACAUGUUUGUUUAAAACAAAUGAAAAUAACUAAAAAUAACUAAAAGAUGUGCAAAAAAUAGAUUUUUGAUUGUCAAAUAUGUUUUUCAAUUUUUUUUCUAAGAAAUAAAAAAUUAUUCUCGAAAACAAUGGUAAAACAAACCCUAAACCAUUGAGCCUGACUCAAAACUUACACGACAUUGAAUUUAACCAAUUUCGUUGGUCCAAUUGGGGUCAAUAUUCUUUUGUAGGCCAGCCUGACAACCCAACCCUUGACAGGUCAUGUAAAUGUUGUCCACCCUCCCUUUAUCUUUGGUUCUAAUAGUUUAUAAAUCAUCAUUUUCAAUAAUAUUUCAUAAAUUAUGAGUUCCUUUUUUCAUAGUCAUAUGUUUCAACUAUGUUGAAUGAAUGAAUGGUAGCAACUCCUAUCUUCCUCUAUAAUGACAGAGGUAGUUUUGAGAUGACAAUUCCAACUUAUCCAACACUUUCAAUGAGUCCAUUUCCAAAAUUAUGCCUAACCUUUGAAAAAGGUGCUUUCAAAUAUUAUAUAUAUAUAUAUAUAACUGAAUUAAGUUUAUGGAUUUACUUAGACCAUUUUAUGGAUCAAUAGAGAAUUUUGAUUUUUGAAACAUCUUUCAAUCUUGUUCGAGAUGGUCUAACCAACUAAUCACUAAGUUAUCAAAGGUAAGAGUCGUAUCCCACUAAGAAUACAUGUAUCACUAUCCAACCUAACUUUUGAUUCAUUUUUCAUAUCAUGAUUCAUUUCCAUUUUCAUUCUAUUUCAAAUCUUAUUUUCAUAAACAAAACCCACCAUUAGAGUUUGUUUGCUUGCUACUCCAAAACAAAAAUUGAGAAAAUAAAAAUAAAAAAAAUAAAAAAUGAAAGCAUGUUUAGGGAUGAGUUAAAAAAAAAAUCUUAAAAAUAAAAAUUAAAUAGAGUGUUUUCUCAUAAUAUAUUUAAAUUGUUCUUACUUGUUUUCUAAGAAUUAUUUUUUAAAAAUACUAUUCAUAAAAAUUAAUUUUUUUAAUAUUUAAAAAGAAAUAAAACAAGUUAAGAACAUUUAAAGUUUUCAAACAAAAUUUUAUUAUGCAUAAUAUUCAAAAAAAUAAUUUAAAACUUAUAAUUAUUUUUAAAAAUAUUUUCCCAACAUAACCUUAAUUUUCUUUUUUCACUCACCCCAAAGUAUAUAAAAUACAUAGUAACAAUUGUUAUUAAAAAAUUAGCUCUCUUUUCUUUUUAGAACUAUCAACCAACCAAUAUUUGUGUGUAUGAGUUCCUACAUAUAUUUGGUUAUGAUUUAUUUAAAAAUGAAUAUACCAUCUUUCAAUAACUACAAUAAAUAAAUAAAUAUAUAUAUAUAUAUAUAUAUAUAUAAUUACAAAUUUUAAUAAUAUUUUAUUUUUAUAUUUGAUAUAUCAAAUUAAAUAAUAAAGAUAAAUAUAAAUGUAUUUUGAAAAAAAUCCAAUUUUUAAGCUCAUUUAUACCCAUUUUUUAAAGAACUCAUCUGAACUCUCCAUUUUCACACUUAAUCUUUACCAUUCAUUUAAGGACAAACCCUGAAACUCAUAUCUUCCUAUCACCAACCACAUCUCCCUUUUUUCUCCCAUCUUUCUUUCCCUUUCUCUUCUUUUCUUUCUUUCUCUCUCUCUCUCACCAUACCCACGCCUAUUGUGACCACCAACCACCUCUUGCCAACAACUCCUAUUGUUAGUCACUGGCGUCUCAUUCCCACCCCCUCACUAUCUCUCUCAUGAAAAAAAAAGACAUGUUGUGAAUCGAUUCAUUGGAAUCGAUGAGGUUUAACAAUAUCACUCUUAAAAGUCAAAAAGCAUAUUCCAAACAAGAUAUUAUUCAUAGAUGAUGGAUUUCAAGGAUUUUCAAGUUGAUGGAUUUCAACAAAAUUCAAGAUAGAAAUUGAACUUUGUAAUAAACUUUAUAUUAAAAUAAUACUUUGAUUAUAGAAAGUUUGAAUCUUGAAUUGAUACAAAACUUUGAUUACAAUGAAAUGUUUUGAAUACAAGAGAAGAGUUUGAAAAAGAGAGACAUGAUUUUUUUAAAAGGAUCUAAGAAAUUAUCCACCCACUUGAACCCUAAGGGUAGCUCAGUUGGUCCUAUCUUGAGUUUGCUCCCCAAUCAUCAUUAGUUCAAGUUCUUUCAAGAUCGCUAAGGCUUACUCUCGUUAAGCCCACGAUUAUAAAAAAAAAUUCCACCAACAACUCUUGAAAUUCACCCACAGUGCUAUAAAUGAAUGGAAUUUGCUCUUCCUAAUAUUGUUACGGUUAAUUGGAUAUAUAUAUAUAUAUAUAUAAUUAUUCUUUUAAAGAACGAAUUUUUCAGUUUUUUAAAACUAUUUUGAAUAAUAUAUAAAAAAUAAAAUUAGCACAGAGGAAAGAUUUAAUUGAUUUCUGGCGAGGAAAAGUAUUCCAGAAAACUAGAUUUCAAAAUGUCAAUCACCUUCUGUUUGGGUUGAGAGAAAACUAGGGAUAAAAAGAAAAAGGGGGAAACUUUCAAAUCUCAAAUCCGUAUUGAUUUGGUUCCCAGAACGUAAGAUUAAAUAAGGAAAAAAAUUUGACAAACCCACCUCAAGCAGCGAUUUCCCUAGUAACCCAAAGUAACGAAAGCCACAAGAUUCAUUUUCCUUGUGUAAAAUUUUCUCGGCAACCAAAAAGAGACGGAAAGGAAGAAACGAGCCUUCAGAGGUGUGUGCGCAUCAUCACAAGGCCCAGAGGAGGGGUGCGUACAGGGAGAGUAGAGAAAGUGGGAGAAGAAGAAACGAGCAGCAGAUGUUAGAAUUCAGAUUGAAAACUAAAUCAGCAUCAUUAAAUUGACGAAUGUUCUUUCAGGUUUUCAUGUCCACAUGUAUCUGCCGCUUCAAGUUUUGCCUCUCUUCUCCUGCCUUUCUCAAAGCCCCUCUUCACCGCCCCCUUCUAUCGGAUCCUGGUGCGGUGGGUCCUUAUAUAUCAGUCAUGUGGGAGUUAGGGUUUUUUUUCUUUGGUCCUAGGUCUGCAUAGGUUAAAUGUACUAUUCAUAAUUCAAAUUCUCUGGGUGGGUCUAAACGCUAACAAUUCUUUCAGUCUGAAGCUAACAGUAACCACAGACUCAUCAGGUUGAGUUUUGGCUGAAUGGUUCCUCUUGCAUAAUUGUAUUUGAAAUUAAUAAUAACUUUUGCUAUCAAGUAAAAAGCAAAAACCAAAAAUUGAA